Molecule: long non-coding RNA, 402 nt
Organism: Candoia aspera
Lineage: Eukaryota; Metazoa; Chordata; Lepidosauria; Squamata; Candoiidae
Exons: 3
Source: RefSeq, a predicted model, not a curated record
ACUGUGGGUGGCUCUUUUAUGGGGCAGGAAGGACUAUUUCCAGGAUGUUUGCUCUUAUUUUGGCCCUCCUCCUCUUUCUCGCCCUAUUGACCUGCCAGGAGGAACUUCCACAGCCUCCUUCUGGAACUUCUGAGGAAAGACGACACACCCUUGACCUGACAGAUUUCCGAAUGGCUGGCCGUGAACGUCUUGCGGAUGUGCAUUACGGUCUGUGAGCGAGGGAAAGGGUUAUCUUAGUUUGGGAGAUGAAUUAAAAAAAGAAAAAAAGAGCCAAGCCAAAGCUUUUCGAGGGGGCAAAAUAGCUCCGUGCUCUUAGUAGUCUGCAGCUUGGGAGAGAGAAGAUGGUAUCUGAAAGAGAAUGAGAUACAGAAAGGGAAACAACGACUUGCCAAGAACAUCCCU